This 743-nucleotide ribosomal RNA is filed under the name Streptomyces sp. Its description in RNAcentral is "bacterial SSU rRNA". It matches the Rfam family "Bacterial small subunit ribosomal RNA", at positions 93 to 848 of the family's 1533-position model. Lineage: Bacteria; Bacillati; Actinomycetota; Actinomycetes; Kitasatosporales; Streptomycetaceae. The record is from RNAcentral.
UAGUGGCGAACGGGUGAGUAACACGUGGGCAAUCUGCCCUGCACUCUGGGACAAGCCCUGGAAACGGGGUCUAAUACCGGAUAACACCUUCUCUCGCAUGGGAGGGGGUUCAAAGCUCCGGCGGUGCAGGAUGAGCCCGCGGCCUAUCAGCUUGUUGGUGAGGUAGUGGCUCACCAAGGCGACGACGGGUAGCCGGCCUGAGAGGGCGACCGGCCACACUGGGACUGAGACACGGCCCAGACUCCUACGGGAGGCAGCAGUGGGGAAUAUUGCACAAUGGGCGAAAGCCUGAUGCAGCGACGCCGCGUGAGGGAUGACGGCCUUCGGGUUGUAAACCUCUUUCAGCAGGGAAGAAGCGAAAGUGACGGUACCUGCAGAAGAAGCGCCGGCUAACUACGUGCCAGCAGCCGCGGUAAUACGUAGGGCGCAAGCGUUGUCCGGAAUUAUUGGGCGUAAAGAGCUCGUAGGCGGCUUGUCACGUCGGUUGUGAAAGCCCGGGGCUUAACCCCGGGUCUGCAGUCGAUACGGGCAGGCUAGAGUUCGGUAGGGGAGAUCGGAAUUCCUGGUGUAGCGGUGAAAUGCGCAGAUAUCAGGAGGAACACCGGUGGCGAAGGCGGAUCUCUGGGCCGAUACUGACGCUGAGGAGCGAAAGCGUGGGGAGCGAACAGGAUUAGAUACCCUGGUAGUCCACGCCGUAAACGGUGGGCACUAGGUGUGGGCAACAUUCCACGUUGUCCGUGCCG